AACCCUAUAGAAGCCCUUAAUUUCCUCUUUUGUCAAAUCCUUUCAAACCCUAGCUGCCUACCACCACCCCUACCAGUGCACAACCCCAAAUCCACCCAAACUCCCACCAUACAAUCUCUCUAUCAUCUCCCCAUGACUAUCCCACUGUUAAUUUUUGCUAAAAACUCACUUAAUCUCUCAAAUUUCAAAUCUCAAAACCAAACCCUAGCUGCCAUGCAAUCUGUCUUCAUGACCUCAAACAAUCCGUCCUCUUUUAUGGUUGAGACUCACAUUAGCAGAAAGCUCUUUACAAGAGAUGUCCACUGAUGUGAGUUUCAUCCCAUUUCUCGGAAGUCACGUUUUAGUUAGCUGGCUGUUGGCCGGCCAAUUCUUCUGGAAGGUUUUCUCUACCAUAUUAAUAGAGCUUCAAUAGUAGCCUACUCAUUUCUGAUAACAAAUGUCUUCCAUGAUAAUUGUUGAUAUUCAACCCAGGAGUUUUCGAGCUUGGAGUAAUUAUGUUUACGUGUGGUAAAGUCAGAUUAAGCUGUAAAAGAAGUUGUAGUAUUGAUUUUAUUAGGAUGAACAAUGUUAUAAUAAUUCAUUUUUACUAUUAUUUCGUUGUUCCUUCUUAGUUCCACUACAACUGAUUAUGUUGUGAUAAUCAUCAGGGGGAGGGAUAUUAAUAUUGUCUCCAAUCAUUGAUUCAUAUGGAUAUGUAGCUAUUAGUUUAAAAUUCCUAUACCAAAUUAAGUUUUUUUA
This is a non-coding RNA of Nicotiana tabacum (common tobacco), 738 nucleotides long. NCBI's taxonomy places the organism in Eukaryota, Viridiplantae, Streptophyta, Magnoliopsida, Solanales, Solanaceae. The record is from RefSeq and is a predicted model, not a curated record.